AUGGCGAUUCUGACGUUUCUGUCUCCAUUCUUCACCUUUCGAUCGUUACAAAUCAAAUUAAUAGACCCCCAUGAACCGAAACUUAAAUCUUCAUCGCCACUACACCCACGAUCUUCCAUUAAAUGAUUAUUGUUCUUCGUCCAGUCGGUGAUUCUCAGCUAUAAAAAGUAUAAUGGCUGCCUCAACUAUCUUGCUCUCCUAUUUGAAGGCUCGACGGUGCUCUUCCACGGUGGAGGUGCGGCUUCUGAGACUCUAGGAAGCAAGAAACGCUAAACUUGGUGGAAAGUUGAUAAGGCGACUCUCAUACAUGCCACCGUGAAUGUCCACCAUCUGACCACUUUCAGACAUCGCCUCACGGCGGGUUCCAUGUUCUCCGUCAGCAGAUUUGAUGUGACUGAGUGCAACCAGAACUUCAUGCUGUCAGACUCUCCUCUGGCAAUCCGAUUCAGUGAUUCCACCGCUAUGGAUGAGAUGACUGAGCCGGUGAACCCCAUUCCUGAAGAACGGUUCAGGUUCUGCAAUCACAGUGAGUUGCUUGGUCUAGCCAACACCAACACCCACCUUCCAGUACGUCUAUGUGACACUUAGUUUGUUUGACUCACAAUCUGUUGCGUUUCGCAACAAAAUAGAACGUAAGGUAAGGUUGUAGUUCGUAAGGUAAGGUUGUAGUUGCAACCAGUAUAAACCCGAAGAUUGUAGGAGGUGUUUAUGUUCCGCCUAGCACUAGAAUUUUCUUUCUCAUUAUAAUGGCUUACUCCUCUGUUCUACUUGCUGAUUUUAACAGAUAUAGAUGUAUCACUUGGAAAGAUAGUUUCUUCCCUGAAACCAAAGCUUAUCACCUCUACUUUUUUGCAGGAGUGGUUUCCAGAGGCUGAUAAGCUUGAGGAACUCAAAGUAUGUAUUGGCGUUGUUUUCUCGGCUUUUAGUUUAAGUUUAUUUUGUGCGGAAGAGUAUUUGUUGCUUUGAUCAUCUCCUUGCAUUUUCAUGUAACUAAGUUUGUAACUCUCAGGAGCAUCUUUGCGAUUUGUUUUUUUAUGGAUUGUACCGUUACAUAA
Molecule: RNA transcript, 1055 nt
Organism: Brassica oleracea var. oleracea
Lineage: Eukaryota; Viridiplantae; Streptophyta; Magnoliopsida; Brassicales; Brassicaceae
Exons: 4
Source: RefSeq, a predicted model, not a curated record